This 337-nucleotide long non-coding RNA is filed under the name Olea europaea (common olive). RNAcentral describes it as "long non-coding RNA (OEUR_LNC006153)". Lineage: Eukaryota; Viridiplantae; Streptophyta; Magnoliopsida; Lamiales; Oleaceae. The record is from RNAcentral.
GAUGUUUCCUUCCCUGCGAGGCACCAAAACAAUUCUCUUCCCUUUGAUGCUAAGAGAAUAAGUAUUCUUCCGCCCAUCAUGGAUAACACUGCGAUCAUACUGCCAAGGUCGUCCCAACAAAACAUGACACGCGUCCAUUGAUACCACAUCACACCAAGCAUUAUCAAAAUAUUUUUUUCCAAUCGAGAAAGACACUAAGCAUCGUUUUUCUACCGUUACCUCACUGCCUUUAUUCAGCCAAGACAACUUGUAUGGUUUGGGAUGACGAUCCAUCUUCAGUUGCAGUUUCUCGAUAGCCUCCUCAGACACUACAUUCUCACAACUGCCACUAUCAAUU